Molecule: ribosomal RNA, 500 nt
Filed under: uncultured bacterium
Lineage: Bacteria
Description: partial 16S ribosomal RNA
Rfam family: Bacterial small subunit ribosomal RNA
Source: RNAcentral
AUUGAACGCUGGCGGCAUGCCUUACACAUGCAAGUCGAACGGCAGCGCGGACUUCGGUCUGGCGGCGAGUGGCGAACGGGUGAGUGAUACAUCGGAACGUACCCUGUUGUGGGGGAUAACUAGUCGAAAGAUUAGCUAAUACCGCAUACGACCUGAGGGUGAAAGUGGGGGACCGCAAGGCCUCACGCAGCAGGAGCGGCCGAUGUCUGAUUAGCUAGUUGGUGGGGUAAAGGCCCACCAAGGCGACGAUCAGUAGCUGGUCUGAGAGGACGAUCAGCCAAACUGGGACUGAGACACGGCCCAGACUCCUACGGGAGGCAGCAGUGGGGAAUUUUGGACAAUGGGGGCAACCCUGAGCCAGCAAUGCCGCGUGUGUGAAGAAGGCCUUCGGGUUGUAAAGCACUUUUGUCCGGAAAGAAAUCGCGCUGGUUAAUACCUGGCGAGGAUGACGGUACCGGAAGAAUAAGCACCGGCUAACUACGUGCCAGCCGCCGCAGUAA